RNAcentral lists this long non-coding RNA (989 nucleotides) under Struthio camelus australis. Its description in RNAcentral is "lncRNA (ENSSCUG00000004370.1)". Lineage: Eukaryota; Metazoa; Chordata; Aves; Struthioniformes; Struthionidae. The record is from RNAcentral.
UUGGCAGUGAAGACUGUUGCAAACAGCUUUGACUUCUGAUUUUACCAGCCAGCACGAGCUGGCCAUGGGAAUGGGAAACAGCGUGGAAGAGCUCAACAUCUGCCCCAGGAGUUGUGGGAAUAACACCGGGGCUAAUGAUUUUUCUAUUUUUUUUUUCUGUCUGACACUUGAUAUCUCUUGUCGUGUGUCUGGCAAUUCUAGGGGAGCAAGUAACAAUUCUCAUACCUAACACAAACAUCAUCGUGACCUGGCCAUGGCCCAGUAAAGUUUGGUCAGUGCCUCCACUGUGCAAAAGCUGUGAUUCGAGUGCCCUUUGUGCUCUUACGACUUCUGAGGCAGAACAAGCUUUCUAAGGUUUACGGUCAGUGCAUGGCUGUCAUGUUUCAUUUUGCCUGCUACACAUCAAGGUGAUAUCUUCAGCAAGUGCAUUUUGCUAUGCCAUUUGUUGAUUUCUGCUUUCUAAUUCCACCUGCUGGGCCCCAAACUGUCACUACAUUGAUCACCAGGCCACAGAAAAUUCCACUGGCUAUUUCCUAUGUCUUAAGCUCUUCCCAGUACAGCGGCAAGGCCAGCAAGGGUAAUGUUUGUAUUACCCUGGAACUGCUGCACAGGCAAACAAAAAACUGCAGUGCUGUCAUCUCAUUGAUAAGCCCCAGAAUUUAAAGAAACCAUCCCCCAAAGGAUAUGAAUAUGAGGGAUCUGGGAGAGCUGCCAACUUGAUAGGUUGACUGAGAAUCAGAAAUGACUGCGGUAAGUCCAGCUUUAACAUAUAACAUGACCCAACAUGAAAACAUCAGCUGCAAUGUUUGUACCUGGUCUUCACAUACUAACCAUGUCAGACUUUUAGAGUAUUUUUUCUGCAAGGACGGCACAUUUUCAAGAGUUGUAGAAGUAUCUAGAAGCCUGUAGCAUACCCACAAAGUGGAAACAGGUUUGAAACUUUAGCAAGAAGGGCAUCUUCAAAUAAAAAAGAAUAUUCCAUCCUUGCA